CCCUAGUAACUGCGAGUGAAGCGGGAAAAGCUCAAAUUUAAAAUCUGGCGGUCUUUGGCCGUCCGAGUUGUAGUCUGGAGAAGUGCUUUCCGCGCUGGACCGUGUAUAAGUCUCUUGGAACAGAGCGUCAUAGAGGGUGAGAAUCCCGUCUUUGACACGGACUACCAGUGCUUUGUGAUGCGCUCUCAAAGAGUCGAGUUGUUUGGGAAUGCAGCUCAAAAUGGGUGGUGAAUUCCAUCUAAAGCUAAAUAUUGGCGAGAGACCGAUAGCGAACAAGUACCGUGAGGGAAAGAUGAAAAGCACUUUGGAAAGAGAGUUAAACAGUACGUGAAAUUGCUGAAAGGGAAACGCUUGAAGUCAGUCGCGUUGUCUGGGACUCAGCCUUGCUUUUGCUUGGUGCACUUUCCGGAUGACGGGCCAGCAUCGAUUUUGACCGUCGGAAAAGGGCUAGGGUAAUGUGGCACCUCCGGGUGUGUUAUAGACUUUAGUCGCAUACGGCGGUCGAGAUCGAGGAACGCAGCGCGCCGUAAGGCAGGGGUUCGCCCACUUUCGCGCUUAGGAUGCUGGCGUAAUGGCUUUAAACGACCCGUCUUGAAACACGGACCAAGGAGUCUAACAUACCUGCGAGUGUUUGGGUGGAAAACCCGAGCGCGUAAUGAAAGUGAAAGUUGAGACCUCUGUCGUGGAGGGCAUCGACGCCCGGACCUGACGUUCUCUGACGGAUCCGCGGUAGAGCAUGUAUGUUGGGACCCGAAAGAUGGUGAACUAUGCCUGAAUAGGGUGAAGCCAGAGGAAACUCUGGUGGAGGCUCGUAGCGAUUCUGACGUGCAAAUCGAUCGUCAAAUUUGGGUAUAGGGGCGAAAGACUAAUCG
RNAcentral lists this ribosomal RNA (872 nucleotides) under Sanguinoderma microsporum. RNAcentral's name for it is "Polyporaceae sp. YFS-2021e partial large subunit ribosomal RNA". It matches the Rfam family "Eukaryotic large subunit ribosomal RNA", at positions 78 to 937 of the family's 3401-position model. Lineage: Eukaryota; Fungi; Basidiomycota; Agaricomycetes; Polyporales; Polyporaceae. The record is from RNAcentral.